Molecule: ribosomal RNA, 684 nt
Filed under: uncultured bacterium
Lineage: Bacteria
Description: bacterial SSU rRNA
Rfam family: Bacterial small subunit ribosomal RNA
Source: RNAcentral
UAACGCGUAGGUAACCUGCCUGGUAGCGGGGGAUAACUAUUGGAAACGAUAGCUAAUACCGCAUAACAGUAGAUAUUGCAUGAUAUCUGCUUGAAAGGUGCAAUUGCAUCACUACCAGAUGGACCUGCGUUGUAUUAGCUAGUUGGUGGGGUAACGGCUCACCAAGGCGACGAUACAUAGCCGACCUGAGAGGGUGAUCGGCCACACUGGGACUGAGACACGGCCCAGACUCCUACGGGAGGCAGCAGUAGGGAAUCUUCGGCAAUGGACGGAAGUCUGACCGAGCAACGCCGCGUGAGUGAAGAAGGUUUUCGGAUCGUAAAGCUCUGUUGUAAGAGAAGAACGAGUGUGAGAGUGGAAAGUUCACACUGUGACGGUAUCUUACCAGAAAGGGACGGCUAACUACGUGCCAGCAGCCGCGGUAAUACGUAGGUCCCGAGCGUUGUCCGGAUUUAUUGGGCGUAAAGCGAGCGCAGGCGGUUAGAUAAGUCUGAAGUUAAAGGCUGUGGCUUAACCAUAGUACGCUUUGGAAACUGUUUAACUUGAGUGCAAGAGGGGAGAGUGGAACUCCAUGUGUAGCGGUGAAAUGCGUAGAUAUAUGGAGGAACACCGGUGGCGAAAGCGGCUCUCUGGCUUGUAACUGACGCUGAGGCUCGAAAGCGUGGGGAGCAAACAGGAUUAGAU